UAGCCGUAAACGAUACUCGCUAGGUGUCGGCCACGGUGCGACCGUUGUCGGUGCCGUAGGGAAGCCGUGAAGCGAGCCACCUGGGAAGUACGGCCGCAAGGCUGAAACUUAAAGGAAUUGGCGGGGGAGCACAACAACGGGUGGAGCUUGCGGUUUAAUUGGAUUCAACGCCGGGAAGCUCACCGGAUAAGACAGCGGAAUGAUUGCCGGGCUGAAGACCCUGCAUGACCAGCUGAGAGGUGGUGCAUGGCGUAGUCGUGU
Molecule: ribosomal RNA, 261 nt
Filed under: uncultured archaeon
Lineage: Archaea
Description: partial 16S ribosomal RNA
Rfam family: Archaeal small subunit ribosomal RNA
Source: RNAcentral